AGUGUGCACAAUCAAAGAAUAGAGCGACUGUGGAGAGACCUCUGGGUGGCCGUUACAUGCAUUUACUACGAUGUUCUUCACAACCCUGAGGAAGAAGGCCUUCUUGACAUUUCAAAUGCUGCACACCUCUUUUGCUGCCAUUACAUCUUUCUUCCUCGACUAGAGGAUAAUUUUAAUACAUUUUGCAGUGGAUGGGACAACCAUCCACUGCGAACAGAAAACAACAUGAGUCCCCCAACCAGCUGUGGGAGUUGGGUCACAGAUAUUACCCUGUUCCUGUUCCAGAAAACACACAGCUUAUCACACAUUUGAUUUC
Pelmatolapia mariae (spotted tilapia) is the source of this 316-nucleotide long non-coding RNA. RefSeq lists it as uncharacterized. NCBI's taxonomy places the organism in Eukaryota, Metazoa, Chordata, Actinopteri, Cichliformes, Cichlidae. The transcript is spliced from 3 exons. The record is from RefSeq and is a predicted model, not a curated record.